UGGGGGAUAUUGCACAAUGGGCGAAAGCCUGAUGCAGCGACGCCGCGUGGGGGAUGAAGGCUUUCGGGUUGUAAACCUCUUUCGCUAUCGAACAAGGCCCGCUUAGGGUGGGUUGAGGGUAGGUGGAGAAGAAGCGCCGGCUAACUACGUGCCAGCAGCCGCGGUAAUACGUAGGGCGCGAGCGUUGUCCGGAAUUAUUGGGCGUAAAGGGUUUGUAGGCGGCUUGUUGCGCCUGCUGUGAAAACGCGGGGCUUAACUUCGCGCGUGCAGUGGGUACGGGCAGGCUUGAGUGUGGUAGAGGUGACUGGAAUUCCAGGUGUAGCGGUGGAAUGCGCAGAUAUCUGGAGGAACACCGAUGGCGAAGGGAGGGCACUGGGCCAUUACUGACGCUGAGGAGCGAAAGCAUGGGUAGCGAAGAGG
RNAcentral lists this ribosomal RNA (420 nucleotides) under bacterium. RNAcentral describes it as "partial 16S ribosomal RNA". It matches the Rfam family "Bacterial small subunit ribosomal RNA", at positions 355 to 776 of the family's 1533-position model. The record is from RNAcentral.